AGAGUUUGAUCAUGGCUCAGAUUGAACGCUGGCGGCAGGCCUAACACAUGCAAGUCGAGCGGUAGCACAGAGAGCUUGCUCUCGGGUGACGAGCGGCGGACGGGUGAGUAAUGUCUGGGAAACUGCCUGAUGGAGGGGGAUAACUACUGGAAACGGUAGCUAAUACCGCAUAACGUCGCAAGACCAAAGUGGGGGACCUUCGGGCCUCAUGCCAUCAGAUGUGCCCAGAUGGGAUUAGCUAGUAGGUGGGGUAAUGGCUCACCUAGGCGACGAUCCCUAGCUGGUCUGAGAGGAUGACCAGCCACACUGGAACUGAGACACGGUCCAGACUCCUACGGGAGGCAGCAGUGGGGAAUAUUGCACAAUGGGCGCAAGCCUGAUGCAGCCAUGCCGCGUGUGUGAAGAAGGCCUUCGGGUUGUAAAGCACUUUCAGCGGGGAGGAAGGCGAUAAGGUUAAUAACCUUGUCGAUUGACGUUACCCGCAGAAGAAGCACCGGCUAACUCCGUGCCAGCAGCCGCGGUAAUACGGAGGGUGCAAGCGUUAAUCGGAAUUACUGGGCGUAAAGCGCACGCAGGCGGUCUGUCAAGUCGGAUGUGAAAUCCCCGGGCUCAACCUGGGAACUGCAUUCGAAACUGGCAGGCUAGAGUCUUGUAGAGGGGGGUAGAAUUCCAGGUGUAGCGGUGAAAUGCGUAGAGAUCUGGAGGAAUACCGGUGGCGAAGGCGGCCCCCUGGACAAAGACUGACGCUCAGGUGCGAAAGCGUGGGGAGCAAACAGGAUUAGAUACCCUGGUAGUCCACGCCGUAAACGAUGUCGAUUUGGAGGUUGUGCCCUUGAGGCGUGGCUUCCGGAGCUAACGCGUUAAAUCGACCGCCUGGGGAGUACGGCCGCAAGGUUAAAACUCAAAUGAAUUGACGGGGGCCCGCACAAGCGGUGGAGCAUGUGGUUUAAUUCGAUGCAACGCGAAGAACCUUACCUGGUCUUGACAUCCACAGAACUUUCCAGAGAUGGAUUGGUGCCUUCGGGAACUGUGAGACAGGUGCUGCAUGGCUGUCGUCAGCUCGUGUUGUGAAAUGUUGGGUUAAGUCCCGCAACGAGCGCAACCCUUAUCCUUUGUUGCCAGCGGUUAGGCCGGGAACUCAAAGGAGACUGCCAGUGAUAAACUGGAGGAAGGUGGGGAUGACGUCAAGUCAUCAUGGCCCUUACGACCAGGGCUACACACGUGCUACAAUGGCAUAUACAAAGAGAAGCGACCUCGCGAGAGCAAGCGGACCUCAUAAAGUAUGUCGUAGUCCGGAUUGGAGUCUGCAACUCGACUCCAUGAAGUCGGAAUCGCUAGUAAUCGUAGAUCAGAAUGCUACGGUGAAUACGUUCCCGGGCCUUGUACACACCGCCCGUCACACCAUGGGAGUGGGUUGCAAAAGAAGUAGGUAGCUUAACCUUCGGGAGGGCGCUUACCACUUUGUGAUUCAUGACUGGGGUGAAGUCGUAACAAGGUAACCGUAGGGGAACCUGCGGUUG
This 1520-nucleotide ribosomal RNA is filed under the name Klebsiella pneumoniae. Its description in RNAcentral is "bacterial SSU rRNA". It matches the Rfam family "Bacterial small subunit ribosomal RNA". The record is from RNAcentral. RNAcentral also lists the same sequence under 1 other name. Lineage: Bacteria; Pseudomonadati; Pseudomonadota; Gammaproteobacteria; Enterobacterales; Enterobacteriaceae.